This 1444-nucleotide ribosomal RNA is filed under the name uncultured bacterium. Its description in RNAcentral is "partial 16S ribosomal RNA". It matches the Rfam family "Bacterial small subunit ribosomal RNA". The record is from RNAcentral.
AGAGUUUGAUUCUGGCAACGUCGUAGUUCUGGCGGCGGGGCUAACAGAUGGGAGUGAAACGCAGUAGCUAUACUGAGUGGAAAACGGGUGAGUAUAAUGUGGGAAUCUGCCUUUUGGUUCGGAAUAACACGAGGAAACUCUGAGCUAAUACCGGAGAAGCCCUUACGGGGAAAGUUUUAAUGCCAAAAGAUGAGCCCGCACUUGAUUAGCUAGUUGGUAAGGUAAUGGCUUACCAAGGCAACGAUCAAUAGCUGUUCUUAGAGGAAGACCAGCCACAUUGGGACUGAGACACGGCCCAAACUCCUACGGGAGGCAGCAGUGGGGAAUCUUGCACAAUGGGGGAAACCCUGAUGCAGCGAUGCCGCGUGAGUGAAGAAGGCCCUUGGGUUGUAAAACUCUUUCGUCGGGGAAGAAAAUGACUGUACCCGAAUAAGAAGGUCCGGCUAACUUCGUGCCAGCAGCCGCGGUAAUACGAAGGGACCUAGCGUAGUUCGGAAUUACUGGGCUUAAAGAGUUCGUAGGUGGUUAAAAAAGUUGAUGGUGAAAUCCCAAGGCUCAACCUUGGAACUGCCAUCAAAACUUUUUAGCUAGAGUGUGAUAGAGGAAAGUGGAAUUUCUAGUGUAGAGGUGAAAUUCGUAGAUAUUAGAAAGAACAUCAAAAGCGAAGGCAACUUUCUGGAUCAUUACUGACACUGAGGAACGAAAGCAUGGGUAGCGAAGAGGAUUAGAUACCCUCGUAGUCCAUGCCGUAAACGAUGUGUGCUAGACGUUGGAAACUUAGUUUUCAGUGUCGCAGCGAAAGCAUUAAGCACACCGCCUGGGGAGUACGACCGCAAGGUUAAAACUCAAAUGAAUUGACGGGGACCCGCACAAGUAGUGGAGCAUGUGGUUUAAUUCGAAGAUACGCGCAGAACCUUACCAACACUUGACAUGUUCGUCGCGACUCUGAGAGAUCAGAGUUUUCGGUUCGGCCGGACGAAACACAGGUGCUGCAUGGCUGUCGUCAGCUCGUGUCGUGAGAUGUUGGGUUAAGUCCCGCAACGAGCGCAACCCCUACCUUUAGUUGCCACCAUUAAGUUGGGCACUUUAAAGGAACUGCCAGUGAUAAGCUGGAGGAAAGUGGGGAUGACGUCAAGUCCUCAUGGCCCUUACGUGUUGGGCUACACACGUGCUACAAUGGCACUUACAGUGGGAAGCUAAGACGCGAGUCCAAGCUAAUCCCUAAAAUGUGCCUCAGUUCGGAUUUGACUACGUAACUCGCCUGCAUGAAGCUGGAAUUGCUAGUAAUCGCGGAUCAGCGCGUCGCGGGGACAUACGGACCCGGCCCUUGUACACCCCACCAGUCACACCAUGGAAGUUGGCUACACAUUUAGGCACAUGGUCAACCUGAGGCCCUCACCGAGGCCCAGCCAAUCAGCAACAGGGGUGAAGUCGUAACAAGGUA